Molecule: ribosomal RNA, 279 nt
Filed under: uncultured bacterium
Lineage: Bacteria
Description: partial 16S ribosomal RNA
Rfam family: Bacterial small subunit ribosomal RNA
Source: RNAcentral
UGCCAGCAGCCGCGGUAAUACGGAGGGUGCGAGCGUUAAUCGGAAUCACUGGGCGUAAAGCGUGCGUAGGCGGCGCAGCAAGUCAGACGUGAAAGCCCUCGGCUCAACCGAGGAAUUGCGUUUGAAACUGCUGUGCUUGAGUCUCGGAGAGGUUGGCGGAAUUCCAGGUGUAGGAGUGAAAUCCGUAGAUAUCUGGAGGAACACCGGUGGCGAAGGCGGCCAACUGGAUCAUUACUGACACUCAGAGGCGAAAGCUAGGGUAGCAAAAGGGAUUAGAUA